Molecule: long non-coding RNA, 657 nt
Filed under: Theobroma cacao (cacao)
Lineage: Eukaryota; Viridiplantae; Streptophyta; Magnoliopsida; Malvales; Malvaceae
Description: long non-coding RNA (TCAC_LNC005648)
Source: RNAcentral
CACCCUUAUUUGCAGCCAUAUGUUGAUCAGUAUCGUCCAUCCUUCAGCUGCCCUUCGACAAAUUGCUCACCGGAUAAGCAUAUUUCUGCUAGUCGUGAUAAUAGGAAAAAUAUGGCUGAGAGUCAGAAUAGCAAUAGCUCAUGUAGUGAUAAAGAUAGUUUGCUUUCAAGUGACAGAAAUACUGCCACAAUGGUUUCAAAUAGCAAUAGUAAGGCCACUGACACAGAUUCAAUUUCUAUUGAUGAUGAAGAUGGCACCGAGCAGCACCCAGCAAGCGAAGAAGAGAAUGGCCCCAUUAUUUGCACUGCCAAAGGUGAUGAAAAAGGAAUAGUAAAACCUUCUUAUAUGGAACAGGGAUAUAACGUUCAAUCAAAGCAACCAAAAACCAUAAAAAGUAUAAUGAUGGCUUUGAAAGAAGGUAAAGUAAGAGAAAAUGGUUCCCCUAUGAGAGGCAACCGUACAAAAGCUGUAGGUGGUUUGACUCAAAGAAUUAAUAUAGAGGCAUCACCCAAAGUUCUGAAGCCACCUGCUCCUGCUCUGGGUUCUAAGUCUAAUGCAGAUACACCAACAGUUGCUUCAGCAAAAUUACCAUUAGAUUCUGCAAAAAGGAUAACAGGAUCACACACUUUGAAGCACCAGGUAUGAUUGCCACUAACU